This 482-nucleotide ribosomal RNA is filed under the name uncultured bacterium. Its description in RNAcentral is "partial 16S ribosomal RNA". It matches the Rfam family "Bacterial small subunit ribosomal RNA", at positions 30 to 507 of the family's 1533-position model. The record is from RNAcentral.
AUUGAACGCUGGCGGCAUGCUUUACACAUGCAAGUCGAACGGCAGCGCGGGGCAACCUGGCGGCGAGUGGCGCACGGGUGAGUAAUAUGUCGGAACGUACCCAGAAGUGGGGGAUAACGUAGCGAAAGUUACGCUAAUACCGCAUACGAUCUACGGAUGAAAGUAGGGGACCGCAAGGCCUUAUGCUUUUGGAGCGGCCGAUAUCUGAUUAGCUAGUUGGUGAGGUAAAGGCUCACCAAGGCGACGAUCAGUAGCUGGUCUGAGAGGACGACCAGCCACACUGGAACUGAGACACGGUCCAGACUCCUACGGGAGGCAGCAGUGGGGAAUUUUGGACAAUGGGCGCAAGCCUGAUCCAGCAAUGCCGCGUGAGUGAAGAAGGCCUUCGGGUUGUAAAGCUCUUUUGUCAGGGAAGAAACGGUAGAGGCUAAUAUCCUUUGCUAAUGACGGUACCUGAAGAAUAAGCACCGGCUAACUACGUG